RNAcentral lists this ribosomal RNA (266 nucleotides) under uncultured bacterium. RNAcentral describes it as "partial 16S ribosomal RNA". It matches the Rfam family "Bacterial small subunit ribosomal RNA", at positions 335 to 598 of the family's 1533-position model. The record is from RNAcentral.
UUCCCUACGGGGGGCAGCAGUGAGGAAUAUUGGUCAAUGGGCGCGAGCCUGAACCAGCCAAGUAGCGUGAAGGAUGACUGCCCUACGGGUUGUAAACUUCUUUUAUAAAGGAAUAAAGUGAGGCACGUGUGCCUUUUUGUAUGUACUUUAUGAAUAAGCAUCGGCUAACUCCGUGCCAGCAGCCGCGGUAAUACGGAGGAUGCGAGCGUUAUCCGGAUUUAUUGGGUUUAAAGGGUGCGUAGGCGGGCCUUCAGGCCGGCGGCAAA